This 73-nucleotide transfer RNA is filed under the name Camelus bactrianus (Bactrian camel). It matches the Rfam family "tRNA". From Rfam's summary of the family: Transfer RNA (tRNA) molecules are approximately 80 nucleotides in length. Their secondary structure includes four short double-helical elements and three loops (D, anti-codon, and T loops). The record is from Rfam by way of RNAcentral. Lineage: Eukaryota; Metazoa; Chordata; Mammalia; Artiodactyla; Camelidae. RNAcentral also lists the same sequence under 3 other names.
GGGGUUAUAUCUCGGUGGUUAGAGUACAUGCUUAGCAUUCAGGAGGUCCUGGGUUCAAGCCCCAGUACUUCCA